GCCCGAAUAGCUCAGCCGGUUAGAGCACUUGACUGUUAAUCAGGGGGUCGUUGGUUCGAGUCCAACUUCGGGCGCCA
Molecule: transfer RNA, 77 nt
Filed under: Lysobacter enzymogenes
Lineage: Bacteria; Pseudomonadati; Pseudomonadota; Gammaproteobacteria; Lysobacterales; Lysobacteraceae
Also listed under: 1296 other names
Description: tRNA-Asn
Rfam family: tRNA
About the family: Transfer RNA (tRNA) molecules are approximately 80 nucleotides in length.
Source: RNAcentral